This 1294-nucleotide long non-coding RNA is filed under the name Equus caballus (horse). Its description in RNAcentral is "lncRNA (ENSECAG00000044487.1)". The record is from RNAcentral. Lineage: Eukaryota; Metazoa; Chordata; Mammalia; Perissodactyla; Equidae.
CUUCUCCCUAGUGAGAUGAACUGAUCUGAUGAGAUAGGAAUUAAAAGUCACAGAGAAAAGUUGCCAAUUAAUGGUGGAUGCUGGACCUAAAAGGUCAAAUGGAUUUGAGAACUGAAGUCUCCAUUUGGCCUGUUGCAAGCUGGUGAUGGAGGAGAGAAGUCUCUGUAACUCAGCAGAGGAAGCCAACUGAGGGCAGAUCCUUAGGCUCUCAGGAGUUCAGUGAAGAGCCACUUGAUGUAGCCGCACAGGCUGUCACGGAAGGGUCCUGGGGGCUGCGGAGUUAAUGGAGCCUGGAAGUCCACUGCAGCUGUGGUCAAGCACGGCACCAGAGUCACAGUUUUCUUGCUGGUAAUGAGCUGAGGUUGCUCCAUGGUCUAAAACAAAUCCAAGGUAUGAUGCUACUUGAUGCAAAUCAUGGCUACUGUGAGCGGCAUACACGCGAGGCGGACUCUGGGCCUGGAAUCUGCUGAAGCACCAGCUUCACUGAGUCGAUUUUGAGUUUUCCCUUUGAGAGCCACUGCUGAGAGGGCACAGGAUGUGGGCAGAACUCUUAGCACCCUUGGAUUACGGUUCCUUCCACCUAUCAGCUUUAGCAUGUGCCAGUCGAAGAGCUUGAGUUUCCGAAGUACAACACUGAGUCUUUAUGGAGUAGUGCAGCCAUGAGAUCCUGCCGGGGCUCUCCCGCAGCACCUCUGCACUUCUCAGGGAAUAUUUAUCUCUGCUGAUUGACCACUGUUGACCCAGGGUGAAGUGAUUGUUGUUCUGUCUUUGGAGAAGAGCAAAGAUGGCACCCAGGCAUACUGACAAAACUCGAGGACAUCUUUCCCUGCUUGUCUUCUUGCCACUGCUGUAAAAGGCAGGCUAAUUAGUUAGUUUCCUCCAGAAAUAUCCAUCUAAAUCUGUACUAGCCACAUCACAAUAUCUCUGUAAUACAGCUUUUAAGGCGCAAAGUGAACAUUGAUCCUGAUGUCUCUUUCCCCUUGAAUGCCAUGAUUUAAAAAAAAAAAAAAGUUUCCAGUCAAAUGUACAAAGUAAAUAAAAAAAGUCUGUCAAAGUACUAAAUUAAUAAGUAAUAGGAAAAUAGUUAAAACUCUGCACUUGCAGCAGACUCGGGGUCAUUACUUUUGAUGAAUAUUUUCCUUUCUAAGAGGCAUUGCUAAUAUAAGUAAGUAGACCAAAGAGGAUAUUUAAAAUAUAUCCAUAUAUUACCUUUUGUUAAGAUCUUUAACCCUGGAAAAUCACGUCCACAAUCAUAGCUCAUUAUCUUAAUUAGAUCUGUCCUACAUUAUCUCAC